Molecule: long non-coding RNA, 659 nt
Organism: Oryza sativa Japonica Group (Japanese rice)
Lineage: Eukaryota; Viridiplantae; Streptophyta; Magnoliopsida; Poales; Poaceae
Source: RefSeq, a predicted model, not a curated record
UUUCCCCAAAUCAAAAAUAUCCAGAACCCUAGCGAGAAGCGGCGGCGCAAGCAGGGGCGGCGCGCGAAGGCCAGCGCGCGGCGGCCCCGCGUGCCAGCGCGCGGCAGGGUGACGCAGCGGCCUUGUGGGCCAACUGCCGCGGGCCAGCGCGCGGCGGAGAGGGGCAGCGGUGUUGCGCGCGGGCAGGGAGGCGCGGCAGCGGUGUGCACGGGCAGGGAGGCGCGGCGGACCCGCGGCCAGCGCGCAGGAGGAUUCUCCAUCAUCUCAUCUCAUGCAUGCUAUUGCAAACUGCAGCAGUUCAUUGUUCAGAAAAGGAAUCCACUACUGUAUGUAUGGUUUCUUGGAGAAUGGUGUGUAUGUUGUCAUUAAGCCUUUGUUAGUCAUGAUCUCUCCCAGGUUUCAAAAUUCAUCAGGAGAAUUCAGAUUCAGAAUUAAGUUCCCUGGCUGGUGGGUAUGGUAAAUUGCAGUUAUAUCAAUUGAUCAAAGUUCAGAUCCAGAACUUUGACUUCUUGUUCCAGGGCUUUUGUUGGAUAUUAAUGUGUAAUGUUGAGUAUUGUGCUACUUUCUGAUAAUUUGUGAUGCUUGCACAUGUUAUAUGUGAUAUGUUGGAAAUAUCUAUUGAAAUUGUGUCGAAAUUAUUGCUGAAAUUUUAUCCAUGA